This 497-nucleotide ribosomal RNA is filed under the name uncultured bacterium. RNAcentral's name for it is "partial 16S ribosomal RNA". It matches the Rfam family "Bacterial small subunit ribosomal RNA", at positions 28 to 507 of the family's 1533-position model. The record is from RNAcentral.
GAUGAACGCUGGCGGCGUGCCUAAUACAUGCAAGUCGAGCGAACAGAUGAGGAGCUUGCUCCUCUGACGUUAGCGGCGGACGGGUGAGUAACACGUGGAUAACCUACCUAUAAGACUGGGAUAACUUCGGGAAACCGGAGAUAAUACCGGCUCAUAUAUUGAACCGCAUGGUUCAAUAGUGAAAGACGGUUUUGCUGUCACUUAUAGAUGGAUCCGCGCCGCAUUAGCUAGUUGGUAAGGUAACGGCUUACCAAGGCAACGAUGCGUAGCCGACCUGAGAGGGUGAUCGGCCACACUGGAACUGAGACACGGUCCAGACUCCUACGGGAGGCAGCAGUAGGGAAUCUUCCGCAAUGGGCGAAAGCCUGACGGAGCAACGCCGCGUGAGUGAUGAAGGUCUUCGGAUCGUAAAACUCUGUUAUUAGGGAAGAACAAAUGUGUAAGUAACUAUGCACGUCUUGACGGUACCUAAUCAGAAAGCCACGGCUAACUACGUG